CGCGUAGGCGGGAUGGCAAGUCGGUCGUGAAAUACCUCGGCUCAACUGAGGAGCGUCGAUCGAAACUGCCGUUCUUGAGGGUUGCAGAGGAGACUGGAAUUCCCGGUGUAGCGGUGAAAUGUGUAGAGAUCGGGAGGAACACCGGUGGCGAAGGCGGGUCUCUGGGCAACUCCUGACGCUGAGGCGCGAAAGCGUGGGGAGCAAACG
This 207-nucleotide ribosomal RNA is filed under the name uncultured bacterium. RNAcentral describes it as "partial 16S ribosomal RNA". It matches the Rfam family "Bacterial small subunit ribosomal RNA", at positions 568 to 774 of the family's 1533-position model. The record is from RNAcentral.